This 1266-nucleotide long non-coding RNA is filed under the name Salvator merianae (Argentine black and white tegu). Its description in RNAcentral is "lncRNA (ENSSMRG00000002116.1)". Lineage: Eukaryota; Metazoa; Chordata; Lepidosauria; Squamata; Teiidae. The record is from RNAcentral.
GCUGCUCUUGGCACGUUCGCCCGAUGCCGGCAGGCACAGAAACGCGCGCGCUCCUUGGGCUGCGGCCUCAGUUAGCAAACGCCGCUGCUUGAGGCCGUUUCCGUGCCUGCGCCACAGCCUGUAAUCGUAUGAGCGCCGACUCUGCUUAUCUGUUUCUACUUUAUUCGCAAACCGGUGCUUUUGCGGAGGAAAAGAGAAUCCCAGCGGGGAGGGGCUUCCUAAGAGCGGGGUGGUCUUUCAGGUAUUGCUAGGGGCAAGGAGCAACAACGGGCACCCGUUCCAGGUGUGUGCCCACGUGUCCCAGCGGCCUGGCAGGCCUGGCCUGGGGGGAUGAAGUAGGAGCAGCGCCGGCGUCGGGCGUGUUCUCUUUUGUUUGGGCCGCCGCUUCCACGAUGCCUGGGACCCCCUGCCAGACUGGGGGGGGGGCGCUACUUCCCAGGGUCUCCCGAGCCGGCAGGGGCGCACCCUGCGGGGGGGUUGUGUCCAAAUUCUCUCGGAUGUCGUCUUGACCGCGAUGCUUCUUCUUAGGCGUUCCAGCCACGGACACCAUCGGGAAGAUCGCGGGGCCCCGGGCAAACCUUGCAGCCGCAGGGCGCUCCUUCCGGGUCCCAGGCACGCGUCGUUGCGUGGCCACCGCCGCUAAGCCCCUUCGGAGGAACGCGGAGAAGCAGACGGAGACGCAAGCGGCGUCGGCACCAGAUUGUAAGGAGGCAGCGGGGCCUGGGGGUCAGAACUGGGAAAGCCGAGCUGCCCUCGGUAGCGGCGGAAGCCACUUCGUAGGCACGGCCGUUCCCGGGCACUAGUGGCUGAACCGGCAGCUGUGGGAGUUUUUCUCCACCGGCGGCNGUGGUGGCCGAGAAAGGGGCUUGGUGGCCUACCCAGCCGGGGAAGAAGCCUCUGCCGCCCGGUCCAUCGCCUGGGCAACCCUUGGGCUGCAGGGUCCAGCUUUGUUACUUCAGGCAGGAGGAGGUAGAAGAUGGUUUCACGGGGAAGAGGGAUAGACGCCAGAAUGGGGGAAGAUACAGAAGUUGGGGGGAAAUGAGAGCAUCUGCUGGUGCUGCUUGGGAAUGUCCGCNCAGUCCCGAAUAACUCAUCUCCCUGUCUGUGGAUGAUGAAGCCGCCUGGAGCAGCUGGAAGAUACAGGCCCUGUGAGCACAGGCUGUUCAGCCAGAGGGGCCGCUGACCCCAUCCAGGGCCCCCCGGUGUCCCUUUCUGCCCCGCUCUGCAGGGGAGUGCUGGGCUUUGGGUUCCGCAGAAACCUAACAG